AUUGAACGCUGGCGGCAGGCUUAACACAUGCAAGUCGAGCGGGGUGAUGGUGCUUGCACUAUCACUUAGCGGCGGACGGGUGAGUAAUGCUUAGGAAUCUGCCUAUUAGUGGGGGACAACAUCUCGAAAGGGAUGCUAAUACCGCAUACGUCCUACGGGAGAAAGCAGGGGAUCACUUGUGACCUUGCGCUAAUAGAUGAGCCUAAGUCGGAUUAGCUAGUUGGUGGGGUAAAGGCCUACCAAGGCGGCGAUCUGUAGCGGGUCUGAGAGGAUGAUCCGCCACACUGGGACUGAGACACGGCCCAGACUCCUACGGGAGGCAGCAGUGGGGAAUAUUGGACAAUGGGGGGAACCCUGAUCCAGCCAUGCCGCGUGUGUGAAGAAGGCCUUAUGGUUGUAAAGCACUUUAAGCGAGGAGGAGGCUCUUUUGGUUAAUACCCAAGAUGAGUGGACGUUACUCGCAGAAUAAGCACCGGCUAACUCUGUGCCAGCCGCUGCGGUAA
Molecule: ribosomal RNA, 503 nt
Filed under: uncultured bacterium
Lineage: Bacteria
Description: partial 16S ribosomal RNA
Rfam family: Bacterial small subunit ribosomal RNA
Source: RNAcentral